AUUGAACGCUGGCGGAAUGCUUUACACAUGCAAGUCGAACGGCAGCACGAGGGCAACCUUGGUGGCGAGUGGCGAACGGGUGAGUAAUACAUCGGAACGUGCCCAGUCGUGGGGGAUAACGUAGCGAAAGCUACGCUAAUACCGCAUACGGUCUAUGGAUGAAAGCGGGGGACCGUAAGGCCUCGCGCGAUUGGAGCGGCCGAUGGCAGAUUAGGUAGUUGGUGGGGUAAAGGCUCACCAAGCCUGCGAUCUGUAGCUGGUCUGAGAGGACGACCAGCCACACUGGAACUGAGACACGGUCCAGACUCCUACGGGAGGCAGCAGUGGGGAAUUUUGGACAAUGGGCGCAAGCCUGAUCCAGCCAUUCCGCGUGCAGGAUGAAGG
This 384-nucleotide ribosomal RNA is filed under the name uncultured bacterium. RNAcentral's name for it is "bacterial SSU rRNA". It matches the Rfam family "Bacterial small subunit ribosomal RNA", at positions 30 to 414 of the family's 1533-position model. The record is from RNAcentral.